This 1116-nucleotide ribosomal RNA is filed under the name Pseudomonas fluorescens. RNAcentral's name for it is "bacterial SSU rRNA". It matches the Rfam family "Bacterial small subunit ribosomal RNA", at positions 50 to 1169 of the family's 1533-position model. The record is from RNAcentral. Lineage: Bacteria; Pseudomonadati; Pseudomonadota; Gammaproteobacteria; Pseudomonadales; Pseudomonadaceae.
UACACAUCGCAGUCGAGCGGUAGAGAGAAGCUUGCUUCUCUUGAGAGCGGCGGACGGGUGAGUAAUGCCUAGGAAUCUGCCUGGUAGUGGGGGAUAACGUUCGGAAACGGACGCUAAUACCGCAUACGUCCUACGGGAGAAAGCAGGGGACCUUCGGGCCUUGCGCUAUCAGAUGAGCCUAGGUCGGAUUAGCUAGUUGGUGAGGUAAUGGCUCACCAAGGCGACGAUCCGUAACUGGUCUGAGAGGAUGAUCAGUCACACUGGAACUGAGACACGGUCCAGACUACUACGGGAGGCAGCAGUGGGGAAUAUUGGACAAUGGGCGAAAGCCUGAUCCAGCCAUGCCGCGUGUGUGAAGAAGGUCUUCGGAUUGUAAAGCACUUUAAGUUGGGAGGAAGGGUUGUAGAUUAAUACUCUGCAAUUUUGACGUUACCGACAGAAUAAGCACCGGCUAACUCUGUGCCAGCAGCCGCGGUAAUACAGAGGGUGCAAGCGUUAAUCGGAAUUACUGGGCGUAAAGCGCGCGUAGGUGGUUUGUUAAGUUGGAUGUGAAAUCCCCGGGCUCAACCUGGGAACUGCAUUCAAAACUGACUGACUAGAGUGUGGUAGAGGGUGGUGGAAUUUCCUGUGUAGCGGUGAAAUGCGUAGAUAUAGGAAGGAACACCAGUGGCGAAGGCGACCACCUGGACCAACACUGACACUGAGGUGCGAAAGCGUGGGGAGCAAACAGGAUUAGAUACCCUGGUAGUCCACGCCGUAAACGAUGUCAACUAGCCGUUGGGAGCCUUGAGCUCUUAGUGGCGCAGCUAACGCAUUAAGUUGACCGCCUGGGGAGUACGGGCCGCAAGGUUAAAACUCAAAUGAAUUGACGGGGGCCCGCACAGCGGUGGAGCAUGUGUUUAUUUCGAAGCAACGCGAAGAACCUUACCAGGCCUUGACAUCCAAUGAACUUUCUAGAGAUAGAUUGGUGCCUUCGGGAACAUUGAGACAGUGCUGCAUGGCUGUCGUCAGCUCGUGUCGUGAGAUGUUGGGUUAAGUCCCGUAACGAGCGCAACCCUUGUCUUAGUUACAGCACGUUAUGGGGUCCUCUAAGGAGACUGCCGUGACAAACCGAAG